RNAcentral lists this long non-coding RNA (492 nucleotides) under Ursus americanus (American black bear). RNAcentral's name for it is "lncRNA (ENSUAMG00000004741.1)". The record is from RNAcentral. Lineage: Eukaryota; Metazoa; Chordata; Mammalia; Carnivora; Ursidae.
CGCGGGGCAGCCGCCGCCGGUUGCACCGGGGGGCGCGCGGGAGGGAGGCCGAGGCGGAGGCGGAGGCGGCGGGACGCGCACCNGGGAACCUCCGCCCUGGCCGGCUCGUCGCGGGCGGGAGUUCCCCGGGACUUUGCCCCACGGACGUCGCAGCCCCCCGGAGUGGAGGGGACGCCCCUGCUCUACCGCUGCGACGGGAGCCCGAGCUCAAGAACUGCCUGGAAUCGGCGCCUUUCCCGAAGAAAAGCAAACAGACAGUCUUCACGAAAGUUGCUUGCCCUGGCACAGCGUUCUGCGCCCAGCUUGCCACAGGACUGGGAUCUGCUCCGAAAAAUGCUUGCACCCAGUAAGCCUCUAGGUACUAUUGUUUCUUGCCUCAGUAGUUCUACUCUACACAUUCUUCAAUAAAGGAAAACUGCAUGAAAUUCCCUAUAUAUGGUAUCAACGAUACCCUACAAUAAACAUUUUUAAAAUAGUAAGAGCUAAUAGUUC